AUUUUUUUUUUUUUUUUUUUUGAAUAUAAAAGUGGAUUCUUAAUUUUAUCCACGAAGAACUGUAUUAUUUUUCUUUAUCAUCAUGAUAAUGAAGGUUGCAAGAACAGAGGAUUGGAGAUCAAAUAUGUAGGAGAUAAAUCUGGUUGUUUAAGCAGGCUUUUAAAACAAAACAAUGGUUACAUUGUUUUUUAACCACACAAAGCAAAUGUCGACAGAUGAUAAGACUAGAAAAAUAUCUGCAAUAAAUUCAAAUAAAACAAUUGUGAACAACUAUGCGCAACAUUACUUCCAGAUAAUGUACAAAAGAAUGCACAGAACAGGAUUUCAAUAAAAAUUACCUGCUAACUUGUUUACAUACGACAAUAUGUCUUCUAACUAACUCAAUCCAAGAAAGUUAUCCCCCGAUUGACUUCUCUUUAUCUUCUUUUCUUGUGAAUAUGGUAGUUGGUGCCAUGGACCUUGAUCAAACCAAUGGCCUUGAAAAGCAUGAAAAAUAGAUUUCAGCAAAGAUCUUACAGCGCCCAUAUUCUCCUGCUUUUUCAUGAGGGAAAUUAUGUUAUCUGCUCUUCUUUUAAACAAAGUCGUGCUAUAGGUUGUUGAUUAUUGGUGCCAAGGUCUCUCCUGUUAUCUAAGGCAAGCUUCUCUACAUUAUUUUGUUUCAGCUCCGAUGACUUACUAUUGGCUGUGCUGUGGCUACUCCCUUUAGUAGCAGGAACAUCAUGAUUAUGUUUGCCUUCAUAAGUUGUUAUAACUGCUCUUGGGUCUGUUGCAGCUCUCUCAAUAUGUUUACGGACUUUGCAGCCUGGGGUUGUGCAUUUAUAGUAGCUCCUGUAGAUCAUAGAAGGAAAACACAUCUUAAAUGUUAACAUAGAAAAUCUAAAGACAAGCAAAGCACAAAUAUUUGGACAUAGAAACAGGGGAUUGCACAAAUAGAUAAGCAUUUUCCAUACUAUAUGCAAUAGCAACCUAGGUUAUAAAGACAAACUAAGCAUUGCAAGACAGGCAUAAAUAUUUUCCAUUAACAUAAUUGCAAUAGCAACCAAAGUGUUCAAAAUGGUACCAGCAGCAUAAAGAUGUCAUCUUUCUCAAGGAAGACACGGCUUCAUGACAGAAAACUGGUUAUACUGGAGAAAGCCUCCAAAACAGGGAUAGUAAAUAUCAAAUAAUUGUAAACGCAAGAAGUGCUAAAUAUUUAACCAGAAAAAUAGAUAGGAAACGCUAAUAAUGAUGAAAUGACAGAAUGACAUGCAAAUAUCAAUUUCUUCUAAAAGCCAGAGAGAGAGAGAGCGAGAGGCAUGCAACUUCUGUAGAUCACAAUGCAUAAAAAUAUAAAUGCUGCAAAUGCCUAUCAAUUUCAAUUAUGUAGACUACCACAAGGAAUUCUGACCCAUACCAAAUGAUCAUUGGAACCAAGGAAUAGCGUUUAUCCAAUUUGUCAUUACAGUAACAAGCCACAAUCAAACAGGCUAAGGAAAGUCACCUUGGAUAACGAUUGCCUUUGACAACUUUCUGCCCAUACUUGCGCCAUCUAUAGCCAUCAUCCAAAAGAUCAACU
RNAcentral lists this unclassified non-coding RNA (1555 nucleotides) under Hevea brasiliensis (rubber tree). Lineage: Eukaryota; Viridiplantae; Streptophyta; Magnoliopsida; Malpighiales; Euphorbiaceae. The record is from RNAcentral.